Molecule: long non-coding RNA, 1326 nt
Organism: Peromyscus leucopus (white-footed mouse)
Lineage: Eukaryota; Metazoa; Chordata; Mammalia; Rodentia; Cricetidae
Exons: 3
Source: RefSeq, a predicted model, not a curated record
GAUUAAUUUAAACCUGUCCCUUCCCAGGGCAGUGGUCCGAAAGAGGGCAAACAUGUUAGUAAUGUAGACACCAGCACCUAGGCAGGCCCAACCCUGGGGUGGGCUGGCCUGAUGUAAUUAGCCAAUCUGAUGCUCAUCAAAGCUUGUGGUUCACUCCACUGAGGCCAAUCAGAUCCACCCCUGCAACCUAGGAAGGAACUCCCAGGGGACAGGGAGGGAGGAGAGAUAAAAUUCUGAACAAAAGUUCUUCUGUCAGGGGCUCCAGGUGGUCCCUGGUUAGCACUGGGGCAGAUUCUCACAUCUUCUCCUGUCUUCUAAAUGUCGAGAGGAGAAAAAAGAGCCAUGGGAGACCAAAUGGAGGCUGUGCCAACGGGCAAAGUCCUCUCCAGCCUCUGAGUGCCAGGACUCAGAGAUGCCCGGGAAAGUGCUGAUUCCACGCAGUGCCCAGUAGCUGUGUUGAAACACGACAUAUCUCCGAGGAGAGAGUACUGGCCAGGCUGUGAUCCCAGGGCGUCCAACCUCCUGAAUGUGCCCGUGGACACCUUAGGCCGGGUUCCCAGCAGAGAGAAGCCUUCUCCUUCACCCUCACAGCAGCUGUGAGGUGGUUGCUGUGGGUGCCCAGUGAGGAGCCAGGAUGGGAAGUGAGUGUCUCAGCCACACACGCACUGGGGCUUCCCACAAAGCGUGGCGAAGAACAUCUUGCUGGUUCCUGUACCAUCCUUUCUUCCGCAGACUUCUCCACUCAGUCCCACGUGCCCCCUCUCAGCGCCUCUCACUUCUGCUCUGCCAGGGCCUCCUCUCUCUCCCUUCAGUUCACAAGCCUCUUCCUCCCUCUCCCCUGUGGCUUUGCCUGGGGGCCUCCUUUCCUGGUCCUGCCUGGAGUCCUGGAGACAUUCCUGGUGGCUCAUCUGCCAUGGCAUGCCCAGAGUCCGAAGGUGUGUUUUCACCCUGUCCUCCCUCAAGGUUGAUCGAUCGGCCUGAGACCUGUUCUCUGGUGUGGCCCAGGGCCCACGGGACUGAACAGCUAGCAGUUCACCAGCGUGGACAGAGGGUGCUGAUCUCAGCCAGCGCGCCUAGCCACGUGACCCGGGCAGCCUUGCCAUCUACCCACAUCUCAAUUCUCUUGUGGUUUUGUGGUCAGCCUCAGAUUAAAUCACGACUGCCUGGCAGCUGAGACUUGUAAGAGAGUUGCAUUCUCCCACGAUCACCUGAGGCGGCACGGUCCCAGGCUGAUGUAGACCAAGGAGCCUGAGAAGGCUCUGGACCCCGAGAGCAUGUGGAGAGCAGGGGGCUUGACCCACUUGGUGGAGAUAGGAGACGGGGGGG